UACAUUUGAUUAUAAUUCAUAGAGAUGUUCAUAUAUAGUAAAUAAAUAAUAAUACAUAGCAGGCACAUUGGCUCAGGCAACAGAACACAGACUGGUAUACAUUUGAUUAUAAUUCAUAGAGAUGUUCAUAUAUAGUAAAUAAAUAAUAAUACAUAGCAGGCACACUUGGCUCAGGCAACAGAACACAGACUGGUAUACAUGUGAUUAUAAUUCAUAGAGAUGUUCAUAUAUAGUAAAUAAAUAAUAAUACAUAGCAGCUAUAUAAGUACAGUCCAUUUACCAUUUACUGGUAUACAUUUGAUUAUAAUUCAUAGACACUUGGCUCAGGUAACUGCAUCACACUCUGCUAGGCUUGGAACUCACCACAGAAGUAGGUCUCCUCCUAAAAAUGCAAUUAUUUCUCAACUAUCUUUUGUACAUUUAGGUGUACAUGUGAAAAAUGUACAAUCAUGGAAACAAUUGAAGAGUGCCAAUGCUGCCAAGAAAAGGAUGUCAUGGUGGCCAAAAUGGAGGAAUUCAAUGAAUAUGAGGGAGAUGGUGCAAACAUAACCUGCGUAAUAGAUCACCCAGGAUUCCAAUCAAAUUGUCUGGAUGUUUGGGUGUUGCAGACAGCCUACCAUCAUUAUUCAAAGAGGGACAGACAAAAAGCAGGUGAUCAGCCACGUAAUGAAAUGUAUCGCUAUGUGGCAUACCGCCAGCUAGUGAGAUUUUGCUGGGGAAUACUUGGUAAGAACCACAGAAUCCCACUGCCAUCAUGUGCCAUUAAAAAGAUCCAGGCGACGUUUCCAUCUGACAUCUACACGUCGUUCAAGUAUCCAGCACUUGAUUAGAGUCAAUAACAAAACUGAUUGUCAGUUCAGUGAUUAAAUCUGCUUCUAAACAGCG
This is a long non-coding RNA of Notothenia coriiceps (black rockcod), 885 nucleotides long. RefSeq lists it as uncharacterized. NCBI's taxonomy places the organism in Eukaryota, Metazoa, Chordata, Actinopteri, Perciformes, Nototheniidae. The record is from RefSeq and is a predicted model, not a curated record. The transcript is spliced from 2 exons.